UGCGUAGGGGGCAAGCGUUAUCCGGAUUUACUGGGUGUAAAGGGGGCGCAGACGGCGAUGCAAGCCAGGAGUGAAAGCCCGGGGCCCAACCCCGGGACUGCUCUUGGAACUGCGUGGCUGGAGUGCAGGAGGGGCAGGCGGAAUUCCUGGUGUAGCGGUGAAAUGCGUGGAUAUCAGGAGGAACACCGGUGGCGAAGGCGGCCUGCUGGACUGCAACUGACGUUGAGGCCCGAAAGCGUGGGGAGCAAACAGG
Molecule: ribosomal RNA, 253 nt
Filed under: uncultured bacterium
Lineage: Bacteria
Description: partial 16S ribosomal RNA
Rfam family: Bacterial small subunit ribosomal RNA
Source: RNAcentral